AGUAAGGUCAGCUAAUUAAGCUUUUGGGCCCAUACCCCGAACACGUUGGUUAAAGUCCUUCCCCUACU
RNAcentral lists this transfer RNA (68 nucleotides) under Rhinochimaera pacifica (Pacific spookfish). Its description in RNAcentral is "tRNA-Met". The record is from RNAcentral. Lineage: Eukaryota; Metazoa; Chordata; Chondrichthyes; Chimaeriformes; Rhinochimaeridae.